Homo sapiens (human) is the source of this 1629-nucleotide long non-coding RNA. Ensembl annotates it as testis expressed 41. Its record names the gene TEX41. NCBI's taxonomy places the organism in Eukaryota, Metazoa, Chordata, Mammalia, Primates, Hominidae. The record is from Ensembl.
AGACCUAUGAAGGUCGAAGGGGAAGAAAAGCUGUAUCGAUUGUUGAGAUCUGGCGACUUGUUUAAAUUUCAUCAGCCUCACUUCUAUGAACUCUCAGGACAAACUGCAACAGAGUCACAUCGAGUUGAGACUUCUCCAAGGGCCAUGGGGUUGACAUCUGUAUUCUCAGGGUCCUCGUAAGAACUUCCAUUUUAUGUUCUUGUCUUCUCAUCAGUUUGAGUUGUGUCUUUAACAUUGGAGAGAAAAACAACUUGCAAGAUUUUCUUUCAGUAUGAACCAUUCUGAGGUCCUUCAAUUCUUUAGCUGAUUACCAACUCCUACCACUGUUAACCCUCAUCCAGGAACAAGCUUAUGUCUUUAACAUUCUGAGUGGGCUUCAGCAUCCUUGCAUAUGUUCAAUUCUUAAAAACCUGUUGAAAUAAAAGAUCAGGAGACAUAGGAAGGAUGCCAGAAGAGAGCGUGGCCUCACGUGUACCAGCUCUCUGCUCUCCUUUGCCUUGGGACGUUCCAUCCCUGGAAGUUUCCCUGCCCACAUCUUUGUAGAGAGUCCAUUCUCCAAGCUUCAGUGUGUCAUCUGUGAGGACCGUGACCCACCUGGUACAUCGCCUCAGGGCAUUCAUUUCAGGCUCCUUCUAAAUGGCCAAGUUUUGAAAUGGAAUUGCCAGCAUGCUAAAGAUACACCAUUCAGUUCUCAUCCCACUUUGCAUAGCUUGGAAUCUAUGAUCCUGCAAAUAUCUUUUAACUGCAUUUUGGAUCAGAGGGAAACAGACCAUUUUCUAUUGUGACAAAGAGAGAACCCAGGAAAGGGGCAGUGUUUUUCCCCUCACAGGUGAUGGAGUUUUUAUAAAGAAUGCAGCGGAUAAUGGCAGGCUUGUCCUCUGAACAGAUGGUGAUGGUCUUGUUGCUAGGAUGAGGCCUCAAGAAUUUAGUUUUUAAUUCCACAUUAUUUGCCUCAGUGCCAUGAAUAUCCCUAGGUUUCCUGAGGCAAAAAUACAGAAAAAAAAUCCACAGAAAGAGUGACACACAGAGAGAGAAAGAGCAAGAGAUGGGGCAACUGAGCAGAGACUGGAGCCCGGUCAAGAGAGGCUUUGGGGAAAAUGCCUGCUCAGCUGUCUGCAAUCACCUGGGUUUAAAGCAGGCAGGAAGGAAGAUUGGUUUGGCAGGAGAACUGGCCCUUUGAUGCCUUCGAUACCACAGAGAAAAAUUCCCAUUUCUUCCCAUUAGAAGUCUGUUUACUUUCCUAAUUAAGAUAAACAUGUUUCUGAAGGAGUUAGCUCUUAUAGCAUGACAUUUAUAAAAUCAACUAUAUAUACACACAAGAAUGUUUGCCAGGAAUUUGGGCUGAUGGUGAUUGUAUGAAGCAUUUUAUAGAAAUAUUUUUAAAUAGUUGCCUUAUUUAAAAAUGAGCGACUUUCAUUCCCUCCAGUCAAUUAAAUAUCUAAUUUCAACUCUCGGAGAUAAUAACUGAAGUAGUUUUUUUAAUAAAUGAAUGAACAGUUAGAAAACUGUUAAACACAUAGCCCUGAAGCAUGAAAAAUAUAUUCGUUGAACAGCUUUAUUCUUUUAUUGUUAAUUUACUUCAGAGAAUAUCCACUCGUGUAAUUUUCAAUAAAGUACUCUUAUUUUGAA